GGGUGCGAUCAUUCCAGCACUAAUGCACCGGAUCCCAUCAGAACUGUUCAGUUAAGCGUGCUUGGGCGAGAGUAGUACUAGGAUGGGUGACCUCUUGGGAAGUCCUCGUGUUGCACCCC
RNAcentral lists this ribosomal RNA (119 nucleotides) under Gossypium raimondii (Peruvian cotton). Lineage: Eukaryota; Viridiplantae; Streptophyta; Magnoliopsida; Malvales; Malvaceae. The record is from RNAcentral.